GAUGAACGCUGGCGGCGUGCUUAACACAUGCAAGUCGAACGGUGAAGGCGGAGCUUGCUCUGCUGGAUCAGUGGCGAACGGGUGAGUAACACGUGAGCAAUCUGCCCCUGACUCUGGGAUAAGCGCUGGAAACGGCGUCUAAUACUGGAUACGAGCUGCGAAGGCAUCUUCAGCAGCUGGAAAGAACUUCGGUCAGGGAUGAGCUCGCGGCCUAUCAGCUUGUUUGUGAGGUAACGGCUCACCAAGGCGUCGACGGGUAGCCGGCCUGAGAGGGUGACCGGCCACACUGGGACUGAGACACGGCCCAGACUCCUACGGGAGGCAGCAGUGGGGAAUAUUGCACAAUGGGCGAAAGCCUGAUGCAGCAACGCCGCGUGAGGGACGACGGCCUUCGGGUUGUAAACCUCUUUUAGCAGGGAAGAAGCGAAAGUGACGGUACCUGCAGAAAAAGCGCCGGCUAACUACGUG
Molecule: ribosomal RNA, 468 nt
Filed under: uncultured bacterium
Lineage: Bacteria
Description: partial 16S ribosomal RNA
Rfam family: Bacterial small subunit ribosomal RNA
Source: RNAcentral